Molecule: long non-coding RNA, 1025 nt
Filed under: Homo sapiens (human)
Lineage: Eukaryota; Metazoa; Chordata; Mammalia; Primates; Hominidae
Description: HSALNT0349193
Source: RNAcentral
CCAGAGAUUAAUUUCAUAAUCUUAAGAUUAAAUUUUUACAUUUGCUUUUUUUUUCUUUCUGCUGUUGCUUCUCAUGAAAUCUCUUUGUCCCUGGAUUCACUACCAGCAUGUAGGAUCCUCAUGUAGCACAUUUCUCUUCAUUUGAGUAAAUGCAUCUUCUGAUAUAUGUACUUACUAUAGAAAAUUGAAACAAGAUUCACAAAGACUUAUGGCAAGAGUAGCCACAUUAAAUAUUUAAGGGUACAGGAAAAUAAUGUAACAAUGUAACAGUUUUGGGAGCUCAGAGAAUUCACUCAGGACAUAAGGCAGUCGAAUUUCUUUUUAUGCUCUGUCCAACAAAAAUAUUAUAUGCCAUAUUCAAAACACGUACAACCAGAUUUACACCACUGAAAAUCAUGGUAUCCAGUGUAAGACAUACAGACUUGAAGAAAUUGAAACUGAGUUACUCACUGGAAGCCAGAAAGAAAGAGAGAAACUAAUCCCAAAUAAAUAGUACAAAUUUUAUCUUACUACAGAGCACCUGCUUUUUGUAAUUCACAUGUCAUUUUUCUUUGGAAGAAUAAUUUGGAAGUGAAAAGCUAUUUCUUUGAAGUGAGAUUAUACCUCAUCAGAUUACCUGUUCAUGUUGCAAUAUAUGGACAAAUAAAUGAGGUUACAUUUGAUACAGAUAUUCAAAUAUAGGAAUUUGGUUUAAUAAUACAACCAUAUGACAUACAAUUUUACAGGUAAUUAGCAGAAACAAGAUAAACAUAUGGGUUUUCUUUUGUGAAACUAUAUUAAUUACUGAUGCAGAAACUUAGAAGUUGUCAUAGAAAGUUUACACUAUAACCAAUCUUAGCCUAGUGAGGUUGUGGAUAAAAAGGAAUACUUACAUACUUUCGGUAGGAGUGUAAAUUAGUUAAGCCACUGUGGAAGACAAUGGGACAAUUCCUCAGAGCCCUAGAGACAGAAAUGCUAUUUGACCUGGCAAUCUCAUCACUGGGUAUAUACCCAAAGGAAAAGAAAUUGUUCUAUUAUAAAGAUAC